UAGCCUACUGGUUAAGGCUAUGGAUCGCCAAUCCGGAGAUGGCGGGUUCGAUUCCCGU
This is a non-coding RNA of Aedes albopictus (Asian tiger mosquito), 58 nucleotides long. NCBI's taxonomy places the organism in Eukaryota, Metazoa, Arthropoda, Insecta, Diptera, Culicidae. The record is from Rfam.